Molecule: ribosomal RNA, 3612 nt
Filed under: Ulva compressa
Lineage: Eukaryota; Viridiplantae; Chlorophyta; Ulvophyceae; Ulvales; Ulvaceae
Description: 23S ribosomal RNA
Rfam family: Bacterial large subunit ribosomal RNA
Source: RNAcentral
GUCAAAUAUAUUAAAAUUUACGAUGGAUACCUAGGCAUUUAGAGUCGAUGAAGGGCGUGGAUACCAACGAAAUGCUUCGGUUAGUUGGAAACAAACUUUGAUCCGAAGAUUCCCGAAUAGGAAAACCUAUAUAACUACUUAAUGAAUUCAUAAUUAAGUAAGAGACAACCUGCUGAAUUGAAACAUCUUAGUAAGCAGAGGAAAAGAAAGCAAACGCGAUUUCCUUAGUAGCGGCGAGCGAAACGGAAAUAGUCUAAUCAUUGAAAAAAAAAACUAUUAAACGAAGCAGCUGAAUCCUGCACCAUAGAUGGUGAAAGUCCAGUAGUUUAAAAUAGAAAAAAAUGAUUAUAAAGUAGCAUGGAACACGUGAAAUUCCGUGUGAAUAUACGAGGACCACCUCGUAAGACUAAAUACUCCUAAAUGACCGAUAGUGAAACAGUACCGUGAGGGAAAGGUGAAAAAGAACCCCUGUAGGGGAGUGAAAAAGAACAUGAAAUCGUAAAUUGACAAUCAGUGGGAGCUAAAGUGACCGCGUGCCUGUUGAAGAAUGAGCCGGCGACUUAUAGGUAGUGGCCAGGUUAAAAUAACUUUUUGGAGCCAAAGCGAAAGCAAGUCUGAUAAGGGCGUAUGUCACUAUUUAUAGACCCGAACCCGAGUGAUCUAACCAUGGCCAGGAUGAAUCUUGGGUAACACCAAGUGGAAGACCGAACCGACUGAUGUUGAAAAAUCAGCGGAUGAGCUGUGGUUAGGGGUGAAAUUCCAGUCGAACUCGGAGCUAGCUGGAUCUCCUCGAAAUGUGUUGAGGCGCAGCGGUUGAUGACGGGCUAUUUAGGGGUAAAGCACUGUUUCGGUGCGGGCUGCGAAAGCGGUACCAAAUCGUGGCAAACUAAGAAUACUAAAUAUGCUUUCCAUCAACCAGUAAGACAGUGGGGGAUAAGCUUCAUUGUCAAAAGGGAAACAGCCCAGAUCACCAGUUAAGGCCCCAAAGUGAUGGCUAAGUGAUAAAGGAAGUAAAAAGGCAAAGACAACCAGAAGGUUUGCUUAGAAGCAGCCAUCCUUGAAAGAGUGCGUAAUAGCUCACUGGUAGAGCCUUUUUGCGCCGAAAAUGAACGGGGCUAAGUCAUCCGCCGAAACUGUGGGUUACAGUUAAAAUACUGUUACGGUAGAGGAGCGUUCCGUUAUAGGGUGAAGUUAAAAUGUGAAUUUUAAUGGACGAAACGGAAGUGAGAAUGUCGGCUUGAGUAACGAAAACAUUGGUGAGAAUCCAAUGCCCCGAAAACCUAAGGGUUCCUUCACAAGGUUCGUCCAUGGAGGGUUAGUCAGGACCUAAGGCGAGAUCGAAAGGUGUAGUCGAUGGAAAACAGGUUAAUAUUCCUGUACUUGAUUAGGUUUGGUAAAGAGGGACGGAGAAGGCGGUAACUAGCUAGAUAUUGGUAUUCUAGUAGAAGUAUUGAAUUCUUAAAACAAUGAAAAAAAACUUUGUUUAGAAAACAUGCGACCUGACUGGAACUUUAUUAUAUAAAGUUUCGGUUUAGUUUUAGUCAUACUUCCAAGAAAAGCUCUUAUUACCAUUAAAUUUAAUCAACCUGUACCCUAAACUGACACAAGUAGGUAGGUAGAGAAUACUAAGGGGCGCGAGAUAACUCUCUCUAAGGAACUCGGCAAAAUGGCCCCGUAACUUCGGGAGAAGGGGUGCCUAUAUUAUAUAGGCCGCAGUGACCAGGCCCAGGCGACUGUUUAUCAAAAACACAGGUCUCCGCAAAGUCGUAAGACAAUGUAUGGGGGCUGACGUCUGCCCAGUGCCGGAAGGUAAAAGAAGUUGGUUAUUCCUCGGAAAAAGCUGACGACUGAAGCCCCGGUGAACGGCGGCUGUAACUCUGACAGUCCUAAGGUUAAUACACGAUAUUACGCUAAAUCGCUAGCCUUAGUAAAACCGAACUAAAUGCUGGAAACUCCCCAAAAACAUAACUCUACUCGACUUUUAUAUUACAACAAUAUCGGGACUAACUUUUCGAGGUUAACUCUUGGAGACGUGUUAAAAGUAAGUCAGUAAUAAUGAGAAUGGCACGAGGACAAUCAGCAGGAAAGACUAAUAUACAAUUAGAAUCCUCAGAGACUAUACGUUUGGAGAUAUAAAAACAAAUAAAACUAUGACACAAUUAGAAUCACAAUGGAUUGUUGGGUUUGUAGAUGGAGAAGGGUGUUUUUUUAUAGGACUAAAUAAAAAUCCAGAAAUGACACUUGGAAUUCAAGUUUUACCAGAAUUUUCUGUUGUUCAGCAUAAACGUGAUGAACAAAUACUAUACGCUUUAAAAGAUUUUUGGAAAUUUGGUGUUGUAAGAAAAAACCACGGUGAUCGAUUAUGUUAUCGAGUUCGAGGUGUUGAACAUUUAAAUAAAACCAUUAUACCUUUUUUUGAAAAGCACAGUUUAAAAACAAAGAAAAAGGUAGAUUUUUUAAAGUUUCGAAAAGUUUUACAAUUAAUUGAAAGCAAAAAACAUUUAACUGUUGAAGGCUUACUUAAAAUUGAUUCUCUUCGACUUGAAAUGAACACAGGCAAAUCAAAGAAAAAACUCAUUCUAAUUGAUGGUAAAUUAGAUUUAAUUGAUAUCUAAGAUAGAGUCCAGCCUUUCUUGAAAAAGUUAGGAUAUAACUGAGCGAAAUUCCUUGUCGAGUAAGUUUCGACCCGCACGAAAGACGUAACGAUCUGGGCACUGUCUCGGAGAGAGACUCGGUGAAAUAGAAAUGUCUGUGAAGAUGCGGACUACUUAUACCAGGACAGAAAGACCCUAUGAAGCUUGACUGUAAUUUGGAAUUGGAUUCGGGCUUUUUUUGCGCAGUCUAGGUGGGAGGCGUUGAUAUUAAGUUUUCGGACUUAAUUGAGCCAUCAGUGAGAGACCACUCUAAAAGAGCUAGAAUUCUAAUAGGAUUCCUUGAAUCAGGAUCCUUGACAGUUUCAGAUGGACAGUUUGACUGGGGCGGUGACCUCCCAAAAGGUAACGGAGGUGUGCAAAGGUUCCCUCAAGCUGGACGGAAAUCAGCUGUAGAGUGCAAAGGUAUAAGGGAGCUUGACUGCAAGACCAACAAGUCGAGCAGAGGCGAAAGCCGGCCUUAGUGAUCCGACGGUUCCGAGUGGAAGGGCCGUCGCUCAACGGAUAAAAGUUACUCUAGGGAUAACAGGCUGAUCUCCCCCAAGAGUUCACAUCGACGGGGAGGUUUGGCACCUCGAUGUCGUUUCAUCGCAACCUGGGGCUGGAGUAGGUCCCAAGGGUUGGGCUGUUCGCCCAUAAAAGCGGUACGUGAGAUGGGUUCAGAACGUCGCGAGACAGUUCGGUCCAUAUCCGGUAUAAGCGCAAGAGCAUUGAGAGGAUCUCAACAUUGUACGAGAGGACCCGAAGGGACGUACCGAUGGUGUACCAGUUCUUAUGCCAAUAGGAAACGCUGGGUAGCUAUGUACGGAGUGGAUAAUCGCUGAAAGCAUUUAAGUGAGAAGCCCACCUCAAGAUGAAUGCUCUCUAUUAGAUCGCGGCAAGACAAGCCGAUAGAUUGGCAUCAAGUGUAAGAUUAGUAAUAAUUUCAGCUGAGAUGUACAAAGGAUCGAUUGAUUUUGAC